This 251-nucleotide ribosomal RNA is filed under the name uncultured bacterium. RNAcentral describes it as "partial 16S ribosomal RNA". It matches the Rfam family "Bacterial small subunit ribosomal RNA", at positions 525 to 775 of the family's 1533-position model. The record is from RNAcentral.
ACGGAAGGUCCGGGCGUUAUCCGGAUUUAUUGGGUUUAAAGGGAGCGUAGGCCGCAGGUUAAGCGUGUUGUGAAAUGUAGGGGCUCAACCUCUGCACUGCAGCGCGAACUGGCUUGCUUGAGUACGCACAACGUGGGUGGAAUUCGUGGUGUAGCGGUGAAAUGCUUAGAUAUCACGAAGAACUCCGAUUGCGAAGGCAGCUCACGGGAGCGCAACUGACGCUGAAGCUCGAAAGUGCGGGUAUCGAACAG